Non-coding RNA from Megalopta genalis, 529 nucleotides. Lineage: Eukaryota; Metazoa; Arthropoda; Insecta; Hymenoptera; Halictidae. The record is from RefSeq and is a predicted model, not a curated record.
CAAUUAGUGAUUCGAGCGCAACAGUUCUAUUGAGCUAAGGCUGAGAACACCCUGUAUAAUUAGUAGAAAUAAUUGUUCAACUUUCCAUAAAAAUAAUUACACUUUAUAUCAUAUUUCCGUAGUAGAUGUUUUAUAAAUACUAUUUCCUCCAUUUAAAUGUUCGCGCAGUAUACACUCGUUGCCUCUUAAUAAUAUUCAGCACACGUAGUAGAAGUGAAAUAUGUAUUCUGGAUAUUCACUUCUUGCUAACGUGUCUAUGAUAUGUGAACUGUCGGUAACGCUGAGCGCGACACGAAAUAUUAAGGAGGCUCUAGAGCCCUAAAAAAAGAAAAUGCUGUGGUACGGUAGCGGACUCUACCUAAAUGGAACGGUCAGCUAAUGAACUACGUCUGACUGGAACAGAGAAGAGUGUGUCUGAGGUGGCUACAUUUAAAGCGUUGCCAGCUUUUAAAAAUGCGGUUUUUCUUCGCUGCUUGCGGCGACAGUACAGACUUGGGAUCCUAAGUAAUCUACAAACAUACUCUAAGCA